ACGGGAGGCAGCAGUGGGGAAUAUUGGGCAAUGGGCGAAAGCCUGACCCAGCAACGCCGCGUGAAGGAAGACGGUCUUCGGAUUGUAAACUUCUUUUAUGAGGGACGAAGGACGUGACGGUACCUCAUGAAUAAGCCACGGCUAACUACGUGACAGCAGCCGCGGUAAUACGUAGGUGGCAAGCGUUAUCCGGAUUUACUGGGUGUAAAGGGCGCGUAGGCGGGGAUGCAAGUCAGAUGUGAAAUCCAUGGGCUCAACCCAUGAACUGCAUUUGAAACUGUAGCUCUUGAGUGCGGGAGAGGUAGAUGGAAUUCCUAGUGUAGCGGUGAAAUGCGUAGAUAUUAGGAAGAACACCAGUGGCGAAGGCGAUCUACUGGACAGUAACUGACGCUGAGGCGCGAAAGCGUGGGGAGCAAACAGGAUUAGAUACCCUGGUA
This is a ribosomal RNA of 437 nucleotides. It matches the Rfam family "Bacterial small subunit ribosomal RNA", at positions 341 to 792 of the family's 1533-position model.